Molecule: ribosomal RNA, 637 nt
Filed under: uncultured bacterium
Lineage: Bacteria
Description: bacterial SSU rRNA
Rfam family: Bacterial small subunit ribosomal RNA
Source: RNAcentral
GCUCAACCGGGGAGGGUCAUUGGAAACUGGGGAACUUGAGUGCAGAAGAGGAGGGUGGAAUUCCACGUGUAGCGGUGAAAUGCGUAGAGAUGUGGAGGAACACCAGUGGCGAAGGCGACUCUCUGGUCUGUAACUGACGCUGAGGCGCGAAAGCGUGGGGAGCGAACAGGAUUAGAUACCCUGGUAGUCCACGCCGUAAACGAUGAGUGCUAAGUGUUAGGGGGUUUCCGCCCUUUAGUGCUGCAGCAAACGCAUUAAGCACUCCGCCUGGGGAGUACGGUCGCAAGACUGAAACUCAAAGGAAUUGACGGGGGCCCGCACAAGCGGUGGAGCAUGUGGUUUAACUCGAAGCAACGCGAAGAACCUUACCAGGUCUUGACAUCCUCUGACAACCCUAGAGAUAGGGCUUCCCCUUCGGGGGCAGAGUGACAGGUGGUGCAUGGUUGUCGUCAGCUCGUGUCGUGAGAUGUUGGGUUAAGUCCCGCAACGAGCGCAACCCUUGAUCUUAGUUGCCAGCAUUCAGUUGGGCACUCUAAGGUGACUGCCGGUGACAAACCGGAGGAAGGUGGGGAUGACGUCAAAUCAUCAUGCCCCUUAUGACCUGGGCUACACACGUGCUACAAUGGGCAGAACAAAG